Molecule: transfer-messenger RNA, 362 nt
Filed under: Acidobacteriota bacterium
Lineage: Bacteria; Pseudomonadati; Acidobacteriota
Description: Acidobacteria bacterium transfer-messenger RNA
Rfam family: transfer-messenger RNA
About the family: Bacterial tmRNA, also known as 10Sa RNA or SsrA, is named for its dual tRNA and mRNA-like properties. Its role is to liberate the mRNA from a stalled ribosome.
Source: RNAcentral
GGGGGCGAUUGGCUUCGACGGGAGUAGUUGAGGCUGUAGAUGCAUGCCGAGGUGCCACAACCUCGCAAAUCAGUGGCAAACAAAAAUAACUGCCAACGAACAGUUACCACUCGCUGCGUAAUUAAAACGCAGCCGUCAAACUCGCUCAGCCCGCGGAACGGGUAAGACGUCGCUUUUGCGGGCUUUUCAGCUAUCCUGUUUCCUUCAGGGGAUCGUUGAGAAAAUGACUGAGGGACAUUCAAGCAGGUGUUAUUGCCGCUUUUAUUUGCCUGAUUUGGAUGACAAAAAAGAAAGCGGAUAAGCAUGUAGAUUCUGCAACCGAAGGCUUUCGGACGUGGGUUCGAUUCCCACCGCCUCCACCA